AAGCAAUGAAGUAAAAUAUUACAUUUAGUUUCGACCUAAAAUAAGAAUCAUCAGUUCCUUGCUUA
This 65-nucleotide transfer RNA is filed under the name Maoricicada hamiltoni. RNAcentral describes it as "tRNA-Arg". Lineage: Eukaryota; Metazoa; Arthropoda; Insecta; Hemiptera; Cicadidae. The record is from RNAcentral.